RNAcentral lists this ribosomal RNA (433 nucleotides) under uncultured bacterium. RNAcentral's name for it is "partial 16S ribosomal RNA". It matches the Rfam family "Bacterial small subunit ribosomal RNA", at positions 29 to 507 of the family's 1533-position model. The record is from RNAcentral.
AACGAACGCUGGCGGCAUGCCUAACACAUGCAAGUCGAACGAGACCUUCGGGUCUAGUGGCGCACGGGUGCGUAACGCGUGGGAACCUUCCCUUAGGUUCGGAAUAACUCCCCGAAAGGGGUGCUAAUACCGGAUAAUGUCUUCGGCCCAAAGAUUUAUCGCCUUUGGAUGGGCCCGCGUUGGAUUAGCUAGUUGGUAGGGUAAAAGCCUACCAAGGCGACGAUCCAUAGCUGGUCUGAGAGGAUGAUCAGCCACACUGGGACUGAGACACGGCCCAGACUCCUACGGGAAGCAGCAGUGGGGAAUAUUGGACAAUGGGCGAAAGCCUGAUCCAGCAAUGCCGCGUGAGUGAUGAAGGCCUUAGGGUUGUAAAGCUCUUUUACCCGGGAUGAUAAUGACAGUACCGGGAGAAUAAGCUCCGGCUAACUCCGUG